Molecule: ribosomal RNA, 253 nt
Filed under: uncultured bacterium
Lineage: Bacteria
Description: partial 16S ribosomal RNA
Rfam family: Bacterial small subunit ribosomal RNA
Source: RNAcentral
UACGGAGGGUGCAAGCGUUAUCCGGAUUCACUGGGUUUAAAGGGUGCGUAGGUGGCUUGGUAAGUCAGUGGUGAAAGCCCGGAGCUCAACUCCGGAACUGCCAUUGAUACUGCUUAGCUUGAAUCAGGUCGAGGUGGAUGGAAUAUUACAUGUAGCGGUGAAAUGCUUAGAUAUGUAAUAGAACACCGAUUGCGAAGGCAGUUCACUAGGCCUGUAUUGACACUGAGGCACGAAAGCGUGGGGAUCAAAUGGG